RNAcentral lists this ribosomal RNA (305 nucleotides) under uncultured bacterium. RNAcentral's name for it is "bacterial SSU rRNA". It matches the Rfam family "Bacterial small subunit ribosomal RNA", at positions 333 to 653 of the family's 1533-position model. The record is from RNAcentral.
CGAUCCCUACGGGAGGCAGCAGUGGGGAAUAUUGGGCAAUGGGCGCAAGCCUGACCCAGCAACGCCGCGUGAAGGAAGAAGGCUUUCGGGUUGUAAACUUCUUUUGACAGGGAAGAGUAGAAGACGGUACCUGUCGAAUAAGCCACGGCUAACUACGCGCCAGCAGCCGCGGUAAUACGUAGGUGGCAAGCGUUAUCCGGAUUUACUGGGUGUAAAGGGCGUGUAGGCGGGGACGCAAGUCAGAUGUGAAAACCACGGGCUCAACCUGUGGCCUGCAUUUGAAACUGUGUUUCUUGAGUACUGGA